RNAcentral lists this ribosomal RNA (994 nucleotides) under Microbacterium sp. Its description in RNAcentral is "bacterial SSU rRNA". It matches the Rfam family "Bacterial small subunit ribosomal RNA", at positions 428 to 1432 of the family's 1533-position model. Lineage: Bacteria; Bacillati; Actinomycetota; Actinomycetes; Micrococcales; Microbacteriaceae. The record is from RNAcentral.
AACCUCUUUUAGCAAGGAAGAAGCGAAAGUGACGGUACUUGCAGAAAAAGCGCCGGCUAACUACGUGCCAGCAGCCGCGGUAAUACGUAGGGCGCAAGCGUUAUCCGGAAUUAUUGGGCGUAAAGAGCUCGUAGGCGGUUUGUCGCGUCUGCUGUGAAAUCCCGAGGCUCAACCUCGGGCCUGCAGUGGGUACGGGCAGACUAGAGUGCGGUAGGGGAGAUUGGAAUUCCUGGUGUAGCGGUGGAAUGCGCAGAUAUCAGGAGGAACACCGAUGGCGAAGGCAGAUCUCUGGGCCGUAACUGACGCUGAGGAGCGAAAGGGUGGGGAGCAAACAGGCUUAGAUACCCUGGUAGUCCACCCCGUAAACGUUGGGAACUAGUUGUGGGGUCCUUUCCACGGAUUCCGUGACGCAGCUAACGCAUUAAGUUCCCCGCCUGGGGAGUACGGCCGCAAGGCUAAAACUCAAAGGAAUUGACGGGGACCCGCACAAGCGGCGGAGCAUGCGGAUUAAUUCGAUGCAACGCGAAGAACCUUACCAAGGCUUGACAUACACGAGAACACCCUAGAAAUAGGGGACUCUUUGGACACUCGUGAACAGGUGGUGCAUGGUUGUCGUCAGCUCGUGUCGUGAGAUGUUGGGUUAAGUCCCGCAACGAGCGCAACCCUCGUUCUAUGUUGCCAGCACGUAAUGGUGGGAACUCAUGGGAUACUGCCGGGGUCAACUCGGAGGAAGGUGGGGAUGACGUCAAAUCAUCAUGCCCCUUAUGUCUUGGGCUUCACGCAUGCUACAAUGGCCGGUACAAAGGGCUGCAAUACCGUGAGGUGGAGCGAAUCCCAAAAAGCCGGUCCCAGUUCGGAUUGAGGUCUGCAACUCGACCUCAUGAAGUCGGAGUCGCUAGUAAUCGCAGAUCAGCAACGCUGCGGUGAAUACGUUCCCGGGUCUUGUACACACCGCCCGUCAAGUCAUGAAAGUCGGUAACACCUGAAGCCGGUG